UGGCGGACGGGUGAGUAAUGCAUAGACAACCUACCCCUGAGAUGGGGAUAACGCUUCGAAAGGAGUGCUAAUACCCAAUACUGUCUCGGUCCUGCGGGGCUGAGAUGAACGGAGGCCUCUGAUUCAAGCUUUCGCUCAGGGAGGGGUUUAUGUCCUAUUAGCUUGUUGGUGAGGUAACGGCUCACCAAGGCAGCGAUGGGUAGCCGACCUGAGAGGGUGACCGGCCACACUGGGACUGAGACACUGCCCAGACUCCUACGGGAGGCUGCAGUCGAGAAUCUUCCGCAAUGCGCGCAAGCGUGACGGAGCGACGCCGCGUGGGUGAUGAAGGCCUUCGGGUUGUAAAGCCCUGUUAGCUACUAUGAACCGCGGGUGGUGAAUAACCAUCCCGUCUGACGUAAGUAGCAGAGGAAGCACCGGCUAACUACGUGCCAGCAGCCGCGGUAAUACGUAGGGUGCAAACGUUGUUCGGAAUCACUGGGCAUAAAGAGCGCGUAGGCGGUCUAAUAAGUCAAGUGUGAAAGCCCCCGGCUCAACCGGGGAACUGCACUUGAUACUGUUGGGCUUGAGUGCAGGAGGGGAGAGCGGAAUUCCUGGUGGAGCGGUGAAAUGCGUAGAUAUCAGGAGGAACGCCAGUGGCGAAAGCGGCUCUCUGGCCUGCAACUGACGCUGAGGCGCGAAAGCUAGGGGAGCAAACGGGAUUAGAUACCCCGGUAGUCCUAGCCCUAAACGAUGGGUACUAAGUAGAGGGGACUCCGA
Molecule: ribosomal RNA, 759 nt
Filed under: uncultured Planctomycetota bacterium
Lineage: Bacteria; Pseudomonadati; Planctomycetota
Description: bacterial SSU rRNA
Rfam family: Bacterial small subunit ribosomal RNA
Source: RNAcentral